CAGCCGCCGCGGGAAUACGAAGGGGGCUAGCGUUGUUCGGAAUUACUGGGCGUAAAGCGCACGUAGGCGGAUAUUUAAGUCAGGGGUGAAAUCCCGCAGCUCAACUGCGGAACUGCCUUUGAUACUGGGUAUCUUGAGUAUGGAAGAGGUUAGUGGAAUUGCGAGUGUAGAGGUGAAAUUCGUAGAUAUUCGCAGGAACACCAGUGGCGAAAGCGGCUAACUGGUCCAUAACUGACGCUGAGGUGCGAAAGCGUGGGGAGCAAACAGGAUUAGAUACCCGAGUAGUCCCUGUCUCUUAUAA
Molecule: ribosomal RNA, 301 nt
Filed under: uncultured bacterium
Lineage: Bacteria
Description: partial 16S ribosomal RNA
Rfam family: Bacterial small subunit ribosomal RNA
Source: RNAcentral